AGGCAAUACCUACUCCCUGCCAAAGGAGAACCCAGUUACUGAACAUCGGAUGAGAACAUGGAUAGCAAAUUGGGAGUGAAGGUUCAUACCUGGGUCUCAGAAGCACAGUACAGGUUUUUAGAACAAGCCACCUUAUACAAGUUAAAAUUCAUGAAGCAAUGGACACAGGUUAAGUUAUACCAGCCUGAGUAUGACAGCAACAUUCCUUUAGGGAUUAAAGAAAAUGCUUCAGAAGAUUGGAACACUGCUCAGCCUUCCCAAACUUCUUUUACCACUGAUGUUUCUACCUUAGUGAUCUUCCUCCCAUUUUGAUGCUUCUUUCUCUUUACACUUAAAAGUUCAUAAAAUCUUUCAACAUUAUUUUUCACUAUAAAAGUUUGAAGUUCUCUGUGAAAUGCCUACUAUGUAAGAAUUAAGAUAGAUUUUAAAGAUUGUUAGUCUCGAAACUCCAUGCUCAUCAGUUAGUGCAUGAUAUUAAAUUAUGCUUUUUUCCUCCUUUUAAAUAUACCAACAUUAUAUUGCUGA
Long non-coding RNA from Mandrillus leucophaeus (drill), 525 nucleotides. RefSeq lists it as uncharacterized. The record is from RefSeq and is a predicted model, not a curated record. The transcript has 3 exons. Lineage: Eukaryota; Metazoa; Chordata; Mammalia; Primates; Cercopithecidae.